GACGAACGCUGGCGGCGUGGAUUAGGCAUGCAAGUCGAACGGUAGGAUACCUUCGGGUAUCUGAGAGUGGCGAACGGGUGAGUAACACGUAGGUGAUCUACCCUCAAGAUUGGGACAACCCAGGGAAACUUGGGCUAAUACCGGAUGAAAGCAGCAGUGAUGUUGUUUGAAAGGUGGCGUAAGCUGCCGUUUGGGGAUGAGCCUGCGCUCUAUUAGUUAGUUGGCGGGGUAAAGGCCCACCAAGGCGAUGAUAGAUAGGCGGCCUUAACGGGUGGUCGCCCACACUGGGAUUGAGAUGCGGCCCAGACUCCUACGGGAGGCAGCAGUCGAGAAUAGUCUACAAUGGCCGAAAGGCUGAUAGUGCGACGCCGCGUGAACGAAGAAGCCCUUCGGGUGUAAAGUCUUUUAUAUGUGAGCAGUGCUUUCUAUGUGAACAGCAUGGGGAGAGAGAUAUUAGCAUAUGAAUAAAGCAACGGCUAACUUCGUGCC
Molecule: ribosomal RNA, 489 nt
Filed under: uncultured bacterium
Lineage: Bacteria
Description: bacterial SSU rRNA
Rfam family: Bacterial small subunit ribosomal RNA
Source: RNAcentral